Erigeron canadensis is the source of this 855-nucleotide long non-coding RNA. RefSeq lists it as uncharacterized. The transcript is spliced from 3 exons. Lineage: Eukaryota; Viridiplantae; Streptophyta; Magnoliopsida; Asterales; Asteraceae. The record is from RefSeq and is a predicted model, not a curated record.
UAUUUGUUGACUCACCAAUACCACUUUGCCACAUAACGACCCAACCACACUCCCCAUUUCUUGAUUCUUUGUAAAAAAAUUAUAAAAACAAAAAAGCCGACACAAAGCUUCUUUUAUGUGAUACCAAAGCCCAGCAGACCAUGAUCAUUUUCAGCUGGGGGAUAUAAAGAAAAAAGAGCGAACAAAACUUUUCCAAACUUGGAAGUUUUUUUUAUCCUUUGUGGGACCGGCAAUUUGCUGCUGUUGACCGUGUUUGACUGGAUGGGGUUUGUUUAAUUUGCUGCUCAAGGUUCUGAUGUUUGGUGAGCCAACUUGAUUAUAGCCUAAACCCAGCCAACUAAUCUCACACAUAUCAUUUCAUCUAAACACCCAAAGACCCUUUUCACCACAACCAACCACCAUAAUCCAUCAUUACCCACCCCUUGUAUCAAAAAGACAAAAACCUAUUCAAUAUUUUCAUCACCUAAAAAUUAAAGAUGAUUGUCUUAGCUUGAAGAGAUAUUGAGAUAUCGAAGAAGUUGAAGGUCGAAAGGCCAUCCACCACCGUCUUAUGGGAGAAGGGUUAGUCCUAGAUCGUUUAUCACAACCAGCAUUAUAGCUAGGACGAACAUGAAAGCAAGGUUCCAUGGACAUGGCUCGAGUACAAGGAGGAUUUUGCACUGCUUCAUUAUCAGGCAUGUGUAAUAUCCAUGGCGUCAAUCCCCCAAGACCUUGAGCUACAUAACCAAACGUUGACCCGGGACUCGUGAUCAGUUUAUCGCUCAAGCUCAGCUUCUGAUUGCGGUCCACAUCGGGUGUGAAGUGCUUCGUAUUCUCUUAAUCUGGAAAUUAGAUAAGACGAAGGUUUAUGCAGUG